Molecule: long non-coding RNA, 550 nt
Organism: Homo sapiens (human)
Lineage: Eukaryota; Metazoa; Chordata; Mammalia; Primates; Hominidae
Gene: GZMK-AS1
Product: GZMK antisense RNA 1
Exons: 3
Source: RefSeq, marked validated
CGUUAUGUAUCAGUUUGGGGACUUUCAGGUCUGUGCUUUUAGCACUUUUUUGUUUUGUUUUGUUUUGAGACGGAGUCUCUCUCUGUCGCCCAGGCUGGAGUGCAGUGGCGCGAUCUCGGCUCACUGCAAGCUCUGCCUCCUGGGUUCACGCCAUUCUCCUGCCUCAGCCUCCCGAGUAGCUGGGACUACAGGCGCCCACCACCACAUCCGGCUAAUUGCUUUUAGCACUUUUUUGGGAGAGGUGUGUGGCAACAGUAAAGCUUUCUACAUGUUAAACAGAAUGAACAAAACCAACGCAGAGCAGUGACUUCCUGUCAGAGCAGAAGGAGACCCUUAUAGAACAGCUGUGCCACUGCUCCAAAGGCCUCGUGUGGUUCUAUCCCUUGGACUGCCUUUCUUCAACAGCCCAGACACCUGCUCUGUCAGAUUUAUAAGCCACACCCCCUAGAGCCAUGCCAAUCAAAGCAUGGCCCGCAGACCUGUGCCAGUCUCCGAACCUCUUUGUUACCGAUUUGGAGCAAGAUGGGGACAGAAAUUGAGAGCCAGAGUU